UAGUCCACGCCGUAAACUAUGGACACUUGGUGUUGGAGGUAUUGACCCCUUCAGUGCCGGAGCUAACGCGUUAAGUGUCCCGCCUGGGGAGUACGGUCGCAAGAUUAAAACUCAAAGAAAUUGACGGGGGCCCGCACAAGCGGUGGAGCAUGUGGUUUAAUUCGAUGCAACGCGAAAUACCUUACCUGGGUUCGAAAUCCUUUGGAAUACAUUAGAGAUAGUGUAGCUCUUCGGAGCCGGAGGAUCAGGUGCUGCAUGGCUGUCGUCAGCUCGUGUCGUGAGAUGUUGGGUUAAGUCCCGCAACGAGCGCAACCCUUACCUUUAGUUGCCAGUAUUAAGUUGGGCACUCUAAAGGGACUGCCGACGUUAAGUCGGAGGAAGGUGGGGAUGACGUCAAGUCCUCAUGGCCCUUAUGUCCAGGGCGACACACGUGCUACAAUGGAUGAUACAAAGGGUUGCCAAGCCGCGAGGUGGAGCUAAUCCCAAAAAAUCAUUCUAAGUUCGGAUCGGAGUCUGCAAUUCGACUCCG
This 529-nucleotide ribosomal RNA is filed under the name uncultured bacterium. RNAcentral's name for it is "bacterial SSU rRNA". It matches the Rfam family "Bacterial small subunit ribosomal RNA", at positions 791 to 1320 of the family's 1533-position model. The record is from RNAcentral.